CACCACCGGGAAUUGCUGGAAAUAGUCCAUUUUAUGGCGGCGUGUGCGCCGCUUUCUCCGGGAAGAGGAAGCGGGCGGGGUACACAUCCGAGCCUCUGUUGCGGUAGCCUCCGUUGAGCCGAGGUGGGAGGCGUAGCCGCUGUGCCGUGGCGAGGUUGGAGGUGGGCGGCUGGCGGGCGAGCGAGGAGCGGAGUGGCGGGAGAGCGAGCAGCCGAAGCUUGGCCUGUGACGCCCACUCUCCGCGGCGAAUGCUCCGAUGCAGGUGAGGCAGCAGGUGGAGAACCGCGGCGUCUCCGAGGCCCGCCCAGAGCCAGACGAGUCCCCUCAAAGACGUGCUCCCUCUCUGGGAAGAGCCGCUGUUUCCCCCUGAGCUUCUCCGCCCAAGUGGAGAGCGCUGCGUCCUGUCGCUCGAAGAGUUCCGAGUCCGCUGGGUCCACAACGCGGGGUCGUGUCAUUCUGUCAGGAUCUGUGUCGUGGAUGAGAGAAGGAGGACCCAAACGCUGGACUCACAGGACAAUUCUGGAGAAGAUGGGCCUGCAGGGGAAAGUCACCCCCUUGCAGGCCAGAAGACAUGAGAUAACUUUAAAGAAUACAAAGAUUGCAAGUAUCCAGGCUCAGGAGAGGGGGUCAGUGGGAAGCCCUCUGCUGCUACUUGGCCCUGGUUUGCCCUCAUGGAUGAGGUGAUAGGACAGAUGCCUUCCAUUAAGCCUCCUGUCCUAAUUUCCUCUCUCUCUGAGGACACUCCAGGGCCAAGCGCAGCAGUGGGUGACCAAAACGACAGCGAUGACGAAGCGGCUCAGCCACCUACGACAGGGAGAAAAAGGAAAAGAGAUGAUGAGCUGCUAGACCUCAUCAGAGAGGACAUGAGGCAGCAAGGAGAGGCUGAGGAGAGGAGAGCAGGGAGAGGACGGACAGACUGUUUUCACUUCUAGAAAGAUUUGUUCCCAAAUGAGUUAUGUAUUGAGAAAUUUAUUUAUUUGAAUAUAUUUGUUACAUUGUUAUAUGUGUUGCAUUAGUUUAAAGGUUUUAUGUUAUUAAUAAAUUGAUUCAAAC
Molecule: long non-coding RNA, 1053 nt
Organism: Oreochromis aureus
Lineage: Eukaryota; Metazoa; Chordata; Actinopteri; Cichliformes; Cichlidae
Source: Ensembl